AGAACGAACGCUGGCGGCAGGCUUAACACAUGCAAGUCGAACGCUCGGGAGCAAUUCCGGGAGUGGCAGACGGGUGAGUAACACGUGGGAACAUACCCUUCGGCACGGAACAACUUGGGGAAACUCGAGCUAAUACCGUAUACGACCUUUUGGUGAAAGAUUGAUCGCCGGAGGAUUGGCCCGCGUCCGAUUAGCUAGUUGGUGAGGUAACGGCUCACCAAGGCGACGAUCGGUAGCUGGU
RNAcentral lists this ribosomal RNA (241 nucleotides) under uncultured bacterium. Its description in RNAcentral is "partial small subunit ribosomal RNA". It matches the Rfam family "Bacterial small subunit ribosomal RNA", at positions 26 to 291 of the family's 1533-position model. The record is from RNAcentral.